This 468-nucleotide ribosomal RNA is filed under the name uncultured bacterium. Its description in RNAcentral is "bacterial SSU rRNA". It matches the Rfam family "Bacterial small subunit ribosomal RNA", at positions 29 to 506 of the family's 1533-position model. The record is from RNAcentral.
ACGAACGCUGGCGGCGUGCCUAACACAUGCAAGUCGAACGAGGUCCAUGCAGUGGCAACACUGCGGAAGGCCUAGUGGCGAACGGGUGAGUAACACGUGAGGAACUUGCCCCGGAGACCGGGAUAACUCUCCGAAAGGAGAGCUAAUACCGGAUACCUCCAUCUUACCGCAUGGUCGGAUGAAGAAAUGGAUUCCGCUCCGGGAGAGCCUCGCGGCCUAUCAGCUUGUUGGUGGGGUAACGGCCCACCAAGGCGUCGACGGGUAGCUGGUCUGGGAGGACGAUCAGCCACACUGGGACUGAGACACGGCCCAGACUCCUACGGGAGGCAGCAGUGGGGAAUCUUGCGCAAUGGGCGAAAGCCUGACGCAGCAACGCCGCGUGCGGGAUGAAGGCCCUCGGGUUGUAAACCGCUUUCAGUGGGGACGAACCAAGACGGUACCCACAGAAGAAGCCCCGGCCAACUACGU